Daphnia pulicaria is the source of this 1178-nucleotide long non-coding RNA. RefSeq lists it as uncharacterized. The record is from RefSeq and is a predicted model, not a curated record. The transcript has 3 exons. Lineage: Eukaryota; Metazoa; Arthropoda; Branchiopoda; Diplostraca; Daphniidae.
UACAAGGUAUCACAUAAACUGGAUCAUGUAUCAUGGGCAUUCUAAAUGUUAACCUCAAGUUGCUGAAUGUUUCUUAUUAACUCACAGCUUUAUGUCCAAAAAGUUGCAGAUGUGUGCUUACAGGUGCUACAGAUUGACUUUGGAGAAUAACCUGUGUGUCCUAAGUAGUCGUGAAGUCAGCAAGGUUCAAGUUUAUUUAAACGCCAGUAAAGUUAUCUAUUGCGUCCCAACCAUUUACCUCAGGGACUUGAUCCUCGCCAUAGAUAACAAGUGUCAGCGGAUGAAAUGUAUUUUGCCAGAACUUCUCUCCUAUUGAGACGUCAUUCCUUCAAACUACAAUUUAGUUAUUCUGUUGUCAUUGUUUGUUGCCUUAGAUGAUUUAUUUUGAUAUAGUGUCUAACUUCUUCUUUAACGUUAGCAGCGCUUUUUUUUGGUUGCGCAGCAGUGUGAAGUACGAUAGCUUUUAAUUUCCUUUUAUGCUCAAAGAUUGGUCUAUGCUAUAGUAAUGUUGAUUCUACGCCAAAUAUUAAUAUGAUGUUUAUUGUUUACAGAUUACUCUUGUCGUUAUUUUUACUCAAAAUGAUAAUCAAAAUUCAUUUGUUUAUGAGUGAUCAAAACGAUUAAGUAAAAGUAUUAAUUGUCAAAAAUUAGGUUUAAUUGUACAGCCCCGUAGCACAAUGCCAGAGUGUAUGUGGAGAUAAUGUGAAGUUGUGCCGGACAUGAUCCGGACAUGGGCCGGGCAAGCGGAUCGUGAGUCUCCCGAGGCUGAACUAUUUCAACAUUUUUUUUGAAACCUUAUUAGUCCACUUAAUUGAAUUUAUAAAAAUUUUCAGCUAAUUUAGUGAGUGUGAUUUUUCACACGGAUUUUAAAAUUUAUGAUUAUUAAAUGAUUUGUUCGUGUUUAAAAUUAACUUCCAAUCAUUAUAGUAUGUGCAACCACGGUUUAAUGGUUAUGGCACGCAGUGUAGUUAGUUAUUAAGUCUCUUGUCUCCUCCGGUGGUUUCCGGGUUCUAUUCCCCCUCCCUCCAUGGUUCCCUUUCGUGCUUGCAUAAAAUAAUCAUUACGCCCCUACUCGUAGGGACAGUAAAGAUAUUGUUUAACAUCUCAUAAUGGAAACCCCAGGAAAUGAAGUUGAGAAGGCAGAGAAGAAGUUAAAGGAUGCAAAAUUGGCUGUGAAG